GCCGCCAUGGUGAAAUUGG
Molecule: transfer RNA, 19 nt
Filed under: Bromus rubens (red brome)
Lineage: Eukaryota; Viridiplantae; Streptophyta; Magnoliopsida; Poales; Poaceae
Also listed under: 3 other names
Description: partial tRNA-Leu
Source: RNAcentral